This 52-nucleotide small RNA is filed under the name Limnoraphis robusta CS-951. RNAcentral describes it as "Nitrogen stress-induced RNA 1". It matches the Rfam family "Nitrogen stress-induced RNA 1". Lineage: Bacteria; Bacillati; Cyanobacteriota; Cyanophyceae; Oscillatoriales; Sirenicapillariaceae. The record is from Rfam by way of RNAcentral.
CAGUAGAUGCACCCUGAUCAAAUUCCCUUGGCGAAAGCUAGGGGAUUUUUUU